This 429-nucleotide long non-coding RNA is filed under the name Spirodela polyrhiza (greater duckweed). Its description in RNAcentral is "long non-coding RNA (SPOL_LNC002530)". Lineage: Eukaryota; Viridiplantae; Streptophyta; Magnoliopsida; Alismatales; Araceae. The record is from RNAcentral.
GUCGGAAGAACGCAGCGGUGAAGCCCAAAGAUGGGCAAAGAAAAAUCGUAAGCGAAGCGCACGAAGGCGGCUGAGAACAGGCAAUGGCGGAAAGACGCUGGGUCCUGCAUUUUCGUCCCUAGUGCCCAUGGUCUAAAUGCUGCAGCGGAAGAAACAGCCCAGAUAUCGCAUUGGCCGAGAUAGAGGAGGGCGAUGAAGGAAAACUCGACGGGCGUCGGCAUCUCGAGAGGCCGGGCUACAGGGGCAACCCUCCCAGUCCCUCCCGGGGACUGUCGACGGGGUUCCUCACAGAUCACGGGGGCCGCCUUCGGGGCGAGACGAGGGCACCGAAUCCAACAUCAGAAGUCGGAACGAGGCUCGAGCGAAGCGAAUCGGGAGACCCCCGCCGCCUCAGGGCAGGCGAGGCGACCUGGGAGCUCGCCGAUGUGA